Ribosomal RNA from Salarias fasciatus (jewelled blenny), 120 nucleotides. The record is from Ensembl. Lineage: Eukaryota; Metazoa; Chordata; Actinopteri; Blenniiformes; Blenniidae.
GCUUACGGCCACACCAGCCUGAAAGGGCCCGAUCUCGUCUGAUCUCGGAAGCAAAGAAGGCUCGGGCCUGGUUAGUACUGGGAUGGGAGACUGCCUUGGAAUACCUGGGUGCUGUAAGCU